Molecule: ribosomal RNA, 478 nt
Filed under: Lamellibrachia barhami
Lineage: Eukaryota; Metazoa; Annelida; Polychaeta; Sabellida; Siboglinidae
Description: partial 16S ribosomal RNA
Rfam family: Bacterial large subunit ribosomal RNA
Source: RNAcentral
CUGCCCAAUGACAACAUAGUUCAAUGGCCGCGGUACCCUGACCGUGCAAAGGUAGCAUAAUCACUUGCCCCUUAAUUAGGGGCUGGCAUGAAAGGACACACGAAAGCUUCCCUGUCUCACAAUAACAAAUAAAAAUUAAUCUUCAAGUGAAAAAGCUUGAAUCAAACUGCAGGACAAGAAGACCCCGUUGAGCUUUAUUCUCUAUAGACUAAAUUAAAUAUUAAAUAUAUCAUAAACCUAAAAAGAAUUUAGUUGGGGUGACUAAGGAACACCAAAAACUUCCUUUUAUUAAUUAGGAUCAUUCUCCAUACAAAUUGACCCAUUACACAUGAUCAAAAAAAUAAGCUACCACAGGGAUAACAGGCUAAUCUUUCUCAAGAGCCCAAAUUGUCAGAAAGGAUUGGCACCUCGAUGUUGGCUUAGGGGCCCCUAAUGGUGCAGAAGCCAUAAAUGGUAGGCCGGUUCAACCUGUAAAACC